GCUUCUGUGGCUCAGUUGGUAGAGCGUCGCAUUCGUAAUGCGUAGGUCGUGGGUUCGAGUCCCAUCAGAAGCU
This 73-nucleotide transfer RNA is filed under the name Lachnospiraceae bacterium. Its description in RNAcentral is "tRNA-Thr". It matches the Rfam family "tRNA". From Rfam's summary of the family: Transfer RNA (tRNA) molecules are approximately 80 nucleotides in length. Their secondary structure includes four short double-helical elements and three loops (D, anti-codon, and T loops). The record is from RNAcentral. RNAcentral also lists the same sequence under 1 other name. Lineage: Bacteria; Bacillati; Bacillota; Clostridia; Lachnospirales; Lachnospiraceae.